AGAGGGAUUCUGGGCAACUGUUCGGACUGCUAGAAAUAGCAGCCAAAUCUCCCUCAAAUUGCUACGAUAGUUUUAAAUAAAGCGGAUUCAUUGAUCAAUAUAGUGCAUACUUAUAAAUGAAUAAAUAAAUAAAAGGGGUUGUGCACGUUUGGAAUGCUUUUGAUCAUGAAUCUCGAUCAGGAUUAACCAAUGGCAACAACUGAUAUUUAUGAUGGAAGAAAAGAACGGAGAAAUCAAGAAGGCAUAAGACCUUUGAAGGUGACGAAGUCGCAGAAUCGUUUGCACGUUGGACAAAAUGUUUAGGGUAAUUUCUUCUGGCUCUUUACAUUCUGAAUUCAGAAUCCUGCUGAGGUGAAUCUUGCUUUCAUCUGUUUGGGGUCAAUAAAAUAAAGUACCAAUCAUGUUCUACUGGGGUUGAUGCAGGGCCAGAUUAAGACCAAUAGGGGCUUAAGCACUUAAAAGAUUUUGGUAUCCCCCCACAUAUAUGUAAUUCAAAGAAUAAACCAUAAAAUAAA
Molecule: long non-coding RNA, 515 nt
Organism: Octopus bimaculoides (California two-spot octopus)
Lineage: Eukaryota; Metazoa; Mollusca; Cephalopoda; Octopoda; Octopodidae
Source: RefSeq, a predicted model, not a curated record